GACGAACGCUGGCGGCGCGCCUAACACAUGCAAGUCGAACGAGAGAGAAGGAGCUUGCUUCUUCGAUCGAGUGGCGAACGGGUGAGUAACGCGUGAGGAACCUGCCUCAAAGAGGGGGACAACAGUUGGAAACGACUGCUAAUACCGCAUAAGCCCACGGGUCGGCAUCGACCUGAGGGAAAAGGAGCAAUCCGCUUUGAGAUGGCCUCGCGUCCGAUUAGCUAGUUGGUGAGGUAAUGGCCCACCAAGGCGACGAUCGGUAGCCGGACUGAGAGGUUGAACGGCCACAUUGGGACUGAGACACGGCCCAGACUCCUACGGGAGGCAGCAGUGGGGAAUAUUGCACAAUGGGGGAAACCCUGAUGCAGCGACGCCGCGUGGAGGAAGAAGGUCUUCGGAUUGUAAACUCCUGUUGUUGAGGAAGAUAAUGACGGUACUCA
This 440-nucleotide ribosomal RNA is filed under the name uncultured bacterium. RNAcentral describes it as "bacterial SSU rRNA". It matches the Rfam family "Bacterial small subunit ribosomal RNA", at positions 28 to 481 of the family's 1533-position model. The record is from RNAcentral.